RNAcentral lists this ribosomal RNA (519 nucleotides) under uncultured bacterium. RNAcentral's name for it is "bacterial SSU rRNA". It matches the Rfam family "Bacterial small subunit ribosomal RNA", at positions 990 to 1509 of the family's 1533-position model. The record is from RNAcentral.
AGAGAACUUAGCAGAGAUGCUUUGGUGCCUUCGGGAACUCUGAGACAGGUGCUGCAUGGCUGUCGUCAGCUCGUGUUGUGAAAUGUUGGGUUAAGUCCCGCAACGAGCGCAACCCUUAUCCUUUGUUGCCAGCGGCUCGGCCGGGAACUCAAAGGAGACUGCCGGUGAUAAACCGGAGGAAGGUGGGGAUGACGUCAAGUCAUCAUGGCCCUUACGGCCAGGGCUACACACGUGCUACAAUGGCGCAUACAAAGAGAAGCGACCUCGCGAGAGCAAGCGGACCUCACAAAGUGCGUCGUAGUCCGGAUUGGAGUCUGCAACUCGACUCCAUGAAGUCGGAAUCGCUAGUAAUCGUAGAUCAGAAUGCUACGGUGAAUACGUUCCCGGGCCUUGUACACACCGCCCGUCACACCAUGGGAGUGGGUUGCAAAAGAAGUAGGUAGCUUAACCUUCGGGAGGGCGCUUACCACUUUGUGAUUCAUGACUGGGGUGAAGUCGUAACAAGGUAGGCGUAGCGAG